GGUUCAAUCUCUAUCCAGACUCUAGAGUUAAGCAUUUAACCAAAUUCGCUUCAGACCAUUGCCCUAUCCUUCUCAUGGCUCAUCAAUCCCAAGGUAAUCGUCAUUGUCCCUUUCGAUUUGAAAAAUUCUAGAAUUUGUGUGAUGGGGUCUAGCAUGUUAUUGCCAAAGCAUGGAGGGGUCAUGACCACCUUCCACCGGAUGCUAGA
Molecule: long non-coding RNA, 206 nt
Filed under: Elaeis guineensis (African oil palm)
Lineage: Eukaryota; Viridiplantae; Streptophyta; Magnoliopsida; Arecales; Arecaceae
Description: long non-coding RNA (EGUI_LNC022527)
Source: RNAcentral